GCCAGGUGUGGUGGCUCACGCCUGUAAUUCCAGCAUUUUGGGAGGCUGAGGCAGGAGGAUCGCUUGAGGCCAGGAGUUCAAGACCAGCCUGGCCAAUAUGGUGAAACCCUGUCUCUC
Molecule: non-coding RNA, 117 nt
Filed under: Pan paniscus (pygmy chimpanzee)
Lineage: Eukaryota; Metazoa; Chordata; Mammalia; Primates; Hominidae
Also listed under: 1 other name
Source: Rfam by way of RNAcentral